CCUACGGGUGGCAGCAGUGGGGAAUAUUGGACAAUGGGCGAAAGCCUGAUCCAGCCAUGCCGCGUGUGUGAAGAAGGCCUUCGGGUUGUAAAGCACUUUCAGUGGGGAAGAAAGCCUUGGGGCUAAUACCCUCGAGGAAGGACAUCACCCACAGAAGAAGCACCGGCUAACUCCGUGCCAGCAGCCGCGGUAAUACGGAGGGUGCGAGCGUUAAGCGGAAUUACUGGGCGUAAAGCGCGCGUAGGCGGUCUGAUAAGCCGGUUGUGAAAGCCCCGGGCUCAACCUGGGAACGGCAUCCGGAACUGUCAGGCUAGAGUGCAGGAGAGGAAGGUAGAAUUCCCGGUGUAGCGGUGAAAUGCGUAGAGAUCGGGAGGAAUACCAGUGGCGAAGGCGGCCUUCUGGACUGACACUGACGCUGAGGUGCGAAAGCGUGGGUAGCAAACAGGAUUAGAUACCCCUGUAGUC
Molecule: ribosomal RNA, 465 nt
Filed under: Vreelandella stevensii
Lineage: Bacteria; Pseudomonadati; Pseudomonadota; Gammaproteobacteria; Oceanospirillales; Halomonadaceae
Description: partial 16S ribosomal RNA
Rfam family: Bacterial small subunit ribosomal RNA
Source: RNAcentral